ACGUACUGUGCGAACGUUAUUCGGAAUCACUGGGCUUAAAGGGUGCGUAGGCGGCGAUUCAAGUCAGAUGUGAAAUGCCUGAGCUCAACUGAGGCAUUGCGUUUGAAACUGAAUUGCUAGAGUAUUUCAGGGGUGUGCGGAACUGCCAGUGGAGCGGUGAAAUGUGUUGAUAUUGGCAGGAACACCGGAGGCGAAAGCGGCACACUGGGGAAUAACUGACGCUGAGGCACGAAAGCCAGGGGAGCGAACGGGAUUAGAUACCCCGGUAGUCCUGGCUGUAAACGAUGAGCACUGGGCGGGAGGGGGUUUCCCUUUUCUGCCGUAGCGAAAGCGUUAAGUGCUCCGCCUGGGGAGUAUGGUCGCAAGGCUG
RNAcentral lists this ribosomal RNA (370 nucleotides) under uncultured bacterium. RNAcentral describes it as "bacterial SSU rRNA". It matches the Rfam family "Bacterial small subunit ribosomal RNA", at positions 525 to 896 of the family's 1533-position model. The record is from RNAcentral.